Non-coding RNA from Musa acuminata subsp. malaccensis (wild Malaysian banana), 733 nucleotides. Lineage: Eukaryota; Viridiplantae; Streptophyta; Magnoliopsida; Zingiberales; Musaceae. The record is from RefSeq and is a predicted model, not a curated record.
CCAAGUUGGCAGGAUCGGCUCCGUCAGUUUCCUUCUGUUUUCGCUACGCGCGCGGUUCCAACUUCAAGAUCGAGCGAGAGCGAGAGAGAGAGAGAGAGAGCUCCGAUGUUUCGUUUCCACUUCCAGAUAUCUUCGGACAAAAUGUAGAAAGAUCAGGAGUUCCUGCUGCGAGUAACAGAUUCUACACACACACACCCACAAACAAACAAAAAAAAGUGUUUUGGUGAAAGGGACAAGGUGCAGCCAAGAAUUGUAGCUACUGAUUCCUUCGAUGCAUGCACAUAUUAGAUAGGACAUCAAUUUUAAGGUGGAUUUCAUAGGCGAGUCAGGGUUUGCAUACCUUGGCAAGACAUGAAUGGCAAAUUCGAUCUCAUCCUUCUGCGUUAUGCAAUUUUACAGUCACCGGCCGCCACCCAACCAGCCACAAGCGGCAGUGAUGCAGAUAAUACGUCUCGACAGUCACCAGAACUAACAGGAGCUUGUCAUGCCCACAGGACCAGGAAUGGAGCAUCUUUAGGCUAGAACCCACCUUGGAUUGUUGAAGGCAAGUACAGAGGUCUUCCUGUCUGUGAUUUAUACACCCAGCAAUCCAGCUUCGCUUCCGGGACGAGAUUCCCUAGUCCUUGUUGAGCUUGAUCACCAAUUUUCUUAACUAGGAUACAAAAUGGAAACCCUAAACGCGGUCUUCAAUUUUUUAGAGCCAACAAAUCCAAACGCACCUUUCACAAAGCCA